CCUACGGGAGGCUGCAGUGGGGAAUAUUGGACAAUGGGCGAAAGCCUGAUCCAGCCAUGCCGCGUGUGUGAAGAAGGCCUUCGGGUUGUAAGGCACUUUCAGUGGGGAAGAAAGCCUUGGGGCUAAUACCCUCGAGGAAGGACAUCACCCACAGAAGAAGCACCGGCUAACUCCGUGCCAGCAGCCGCGGUAAUACGGAGGGUGCGAGCGUUAAUCGGAAUUACUGGGCGUAAAGCGCGCGUAGGCGGUCUGAUAAGCCGGUUGUGAAAGCCCCGGGCUCAACCUGGGAACGGCAUCCGGAACUGGCAGGCUAGAGUGCAGGAGAGGAAGGUAGAAUUCCCGGUGUAGCGGUGAAAUGCGUAGAGAUCGGGAGGAAUACCAGUGGCGAAGGCGGCCUUCUGGACUGACACUGACGCUGAGGUGCGAAAGCGUGGGUAGCAAACAGGAUUAGAUACCCCGGUAGUC
RNAcentral lists this ribosomal RNA (465 nucleotides) under Vreelandella stevensii. RNAcentral's name for it is "partial 16S ribosomal RNA". It matches the Rfam family "Bacterial small subunit ribosomal RNA", at positions 338 to 795 of the family's 1533-position model. Lineage: Bacteria; Pseudomonadati; Pseudomonadota; Gammaproteobacteria; Oceanospirillales; Halomonadaceae. The record is from RNAcentral.